GACGAACGCUGGCGGCGUGGAUUAGGCAUGCAAGUCGAACGGUAUCAUCCUUUCGGGGGUGAGAGAGUGGCGAACUGGUGAGUAACACGUAGGUUAUCUACCCUCAAGACGGGGACAACCCAGGGAAACUUGGGCUAAUACCGGAUGUGAGCAACUUUUAGUUGUUUGAAAGGUGGCGUAAGCUGUCGCCUGGGGAUGAGCCUGCGUCCUAUUAGUUAGUUGGUGAGGUAACGGCUCACCUAGGCAAUGAUAGGUAGGCGGCCUUAACGGGUGGUCGCCCACACUGGGAUUGAGAUACGGCCCAGACUCCUACGGGAGGCAGCAGUCGAGAAUAGUCUACAAUGGUCGGAAGACUGAUAGUGCGACGCCGCGUGAACGAUGAAUCCCUUCGGGGUGUAAAGUUCUUUUAUAUGUGAGCAGUGCUUCUUAUAUUAACAGUAUGGGGAGAGAGAUAUUAGCAUAUGAAUAAGCAACGGCUAACUCCGUGCCAGCAGCCGCGGUAAACUCG
This 508-nucleotide ribosomal RNA is filed under the name uncultured bacterium. RNAcentral's name for it is "bacterial SSU rRNA". It matches the Rfam family "Bacterial small subunit ribosomal RNA", at positions 28 to 527 of the family's 1533-position model. The record is from RNAcentral.